This 119-nucleotide ribosomal RNA is filed under the name Pteropus alecto (black flying fox). Lineage: Eukaryota; Metazoa; Chordata; Mammalia; Chiroptera; Pteropodidae. The record is from RNAcentral.
GUCUAUGGCCAUGCCACUCUGAACAAGCCCAGUCCUACCUGAUCUCGGAAGCUAAGCAGGGUCAGGCCUGGUUAGUACUUGGAUGGGAGACCACCUAAGAAGACUAAGUGAUAUAGGUG